This 714-nucleotide ribosomal RNA is filed under the name uncultured Pseudomonadota bacterium. Its description in RNAcentral is "bacterial SSU rRNA". It matches the Rfam family "Bacterial small subunit ribosomal RNA", at positions 46 to 748 of the family's 1533-position model. The record is from RNAcentral. Lineage: Bacteria; Pseudomonadati; Pseudomonadota.
GCCUAACACAUGCAAGUCGAACGGUAACAGGGAAACAGCUUGCUGUUUCGCUGACGAGUGGCGGACGGGUGAGUAAUGUCUGGGAAACUGCCUGAUGGAGGGGGAUAACUACUGGAAACGGUAGCUAAUACCGCAUAACGUCGCAAGACCAAAGAGGGGGACCUUCGGGCCUCUUGCCAUCGGAUGUGCCCAGAUGGGAUUAGCUAGUAGGUGGGGUAACGGCUCACCUAGGCGACGAUCCCUAGCUGGUCUGAGAGGAUGACCAGCCACACUGGAACUGAGACACGGUCCAGACUCCUACGGGAGGCAGCAGUGGGGAAUAUUGCACAAUGGGCGCAAGCCUGAUGCAGCCAUGCCGCGUGUAUGAAGAAGGCCUUCGGGUUGUAAAGUACUUUCAGCGGGGAGGAAGGGAGUAAAGUUAAUACCUUUGCUCAUUGACGUUACCCGCAGAAGAAGCACCGGCUAACUCCGUGCCGGCAGCCGCGGUAAUACGGAGGGUGCAAGCGUUAAUCGGAAUUACUGGGCGUAAAGCGCACGCAGGCGGUUUGUUAAGUCAGAUGUGAAAUCCCCGGGCUCAACCUGGGAACUGCAUCUGAUACUGGCAAGCUUGAGUCUCGUAGAGGGGGGUAGAAUUCCAGGUGUAGCGGUGAAAUGCGUAGAGAUCUGGAGGAAUACCGGUGGCGAAGGCGGCCCCCUGGACGAAGACUGACGCUC